GAGCACUGUCUUUGAACCCGUUUAGUCUGAUCCGUGACCACUUGGGCCAAGCUACAGUGCUAAAAUUAAAAGCAGGCUUGUUCAUAACUGGGGCCUCUUGGCCAUUCCCCUGGUGACCCUUUUAAAAGCAAGCCACAGCA
Phyllopteryx taeniolatus (common seadragon) is the source of this 140-nucleotide small nucleolar RNA. The record is from RefSeq and is a predicted model, not a curated record. Lineage: Eukaryota; Metazoa; Chordata; Actinopteri; Syngnathiformes; Syngnathidae.